Molecule: ribosomal RNA, 253 nt
Filed under: uncultured bacterium
Lineage: Bacteria
Description: partial 16S ribosomal RNA
Rfam family: Bacterial small subunit ribosomal RNA
Source: RNAcentral
UACGGAGGGUGCAAGCGUUAUCCGGAUUCACUGGGUUUAAAGGGCGCGUAGGUGGUUUGGUAAGUCCGUGGUGAAAUCUCCGAGCUUAACUCGGAAACUGCCGUGGAUACUAUCAAUCUUGAAUACUGUGGAGGUAAGCGGAAUAUGUCAUGUAGCGGUGAAAUGCUUAGAUAUGACAUAGAACACCGAUAGCGGAGGCAGCUUGCUACACAGUCAUUGACACUGAGGCACGAAAGCGUGGGGAUCAAACAGG